UGGUUAAGCAAUAAGAGCAUAGGGUGAAUGCCUAGGCACUGAGAGCCGAAGAAAGACGUGAUAAGCUGCGAAAAGCCGCGGGG
This 83-nucleotide ribosomal RNA is filed under the name Lachnospiraceae bacterium. RNAcentral's name for it is "partial 23S ribosomal RNA". Lineage: Bacteria; Bacillati; Bacillota; Clostridia; Lachnospirales; Lachnospiraceae. The record is from RNAcentral.